AGUGAACGCUGGCGGUAGGCCUAACACAUGCAAGUCGAACGGCAGCACAGUAAGAGCUUGCUCUUACGGGUGGCGAGUGGCGGACGGGUGAGGAAUACAUCGGAAUCUACUUUUUCGUGGGGGAUAACGUAGGGAAACUUACGCUAAUACCGCAUACGACCUACGGGUGAAAGCAGGGGAUCUUCGGACCUUGCGCGAUUGAAUGAGCCGAUUUCGGAUUAGCUAGUUGGCGGGGUAAAGGCCCACCAAGGCGACGAUCCGUAGCUGGUCUGAGAGGAUGAUCAGCCACACUGGAACUGAGACACGGUCCAGACUCCUACGGGAGGCAGCAGUGGGGAAUAUUGGACAAUGGGCGCAAGCAUGAUCCAGCAAUACCGCGUGGGUGAAGAAGGACUUCGGGUUGUAAAGCCCUUUUGUUGGGAAAGAAAAGAAGCAGGUUAAUACCCCGCUGUUCUGACGGUACCCAAAGAAUAAGCACCGGCCAACUUCGUG
RNAcentral lists this ribosomal RNA (492 nucleotides) under uncultured bacterium. RNAcentral describes it as "partial 16S ribosomal RNA". It matches the Rfam family "Bacterial small subunit ribosomal RNA", at positions 29 to 507 of the family's 1533-position model. The record is from RNAcentral.